RNAcentral lists this long non-coding RNA (639 nucleotides) under Nicotiana benthamiana. Its description in RNAcentral is "long non-coding RNA (NBEN_LNC026615)". The record is from RNAcentral. Lineage: Eukaryota; Viridiplantae; Streptophyta; Magnoliopsida; Solanales; Solanaceae.
GCAUCCUCAAUCUUCUUCUUGUCAUCCGCGCUAAGCUUAGAACUAAUUUUCUCGUCCUUCACUGUGUUCCUCAUGUUGUAGGCGUAGUUCUCCAAUGCAUUCUUGGCCUCCACCUUCUUCUUGUGAUCCUCGUCUUCUGCCUUGUACUUCUCAGCUUCCUGCACCAUCUUCUCAAUUUCUUCCUUUGACAACCUACCCUUGUCAUUGGUAAUUGUAAUCUUGUUCUUCUGUCCAGUGGUCUUGUCCUCGGCUGAUACGUUCAAGAUACCAUUUGCAUCAAUAUCGAAGCAGACAGUGAUCUGAGGCACACCCCUAGGAGCAGGAGGAAUACCAGAAAGCUCAAAUUUACCCAGUAAGUUGUUGUCUCUUGUUCUUGCUCUCUCACCCUCGAACACCUGAAUCAACACUCCGGGUUGGUUAUCAGAGUAUGUGGGAGAAUACUUGCUCUUUCUUGGUGGGAAUUGUAGUGUUCCUAGGAAUCAGGACAGUCAUCACACCUCCAGCAGUUUCUAACCCAAGAGACAGAGGUGUGACAUCCAAAAGCAGCAAGUCUUGGACCUUCUCAUUACCCUCUCCGCUAAGGAUGGCAGCUUGCACAGCAGCACCAUAGGCAACAGCCUCAUCAGGGUUGAUGCUCUU